CCAAGGAGUCUAACAUGUGUGCGAGUCAUUGGGGAUCUCUCGAGACCCACAGGCGCAAUGAAAGUGAAGGAACAAAUCAAUUGUUCGGAGGCAAGAUGAGUUUGUUAGCGGUGAACCAGUAACGCGGUCACCCGGCUAAGCAUUGUCGACCCGUCGCGAUCGCUUUUAAAAUGUCGAUGCGGCGGAGUGUGAGCAGACACGUUGGGACCCGAAAGAUGGUGAUCUAUGCUUGAGCAGGACGAAGCCAGAGGAAACUCUGGUGGAGGUCCGUAGCGAUUCUGACGUGCAAAUCGAUCGUCGGACUUGAGUAUAGGGGCGAAAGACUAAUCGAACCGUCUA
Molecule: ribosomal RNA, 339 nt
Filed under: Lamyctes africanus
Lineage: Eukaryota; Metazoa; Arthropoda; Chilopoda; Lithobiomorpha; Henicopidae
Description: eukaryotic LSU rRNA
Rfam family: Eukaryotic large subunit ribosomal RNA
Source: RNAcentral